This 493-nucleotide ribosomal RNA is filed under the name uncultured bacterium. RNAcentral describes it as "partial 16S ribosomal RNA". It matches the Rfam family "Bacterial small subunit ribosomal RNA", at positions 29 to 523 of the family's 1533-position model. The record is from RNAcentral.
AUUGAACGCUGGCGGCAUGCUUUACACAUGCAAGUCGAACGGUAACAGGUUAAGCUGACGAGUGGCGAACGGGUGAGUAAUGCAUCGGAACGCGCCCGGUCGUGGGGGAAAACGCAGCGAAAGCUGCGCAACUACCGCAUACGAUCUGAGGACGAAACCCGGGGACCGUAAAGUAUCGCGCGAUCGGAGAAGCGAAUGUCAGAUUAGGUAGUUGGUGAGGUAAAGGCUCACCAAGCCAACGAUCUGUAGCUGGUCUGUGAGGACGACCAGCCACACUGGGACUGAGACACGACCCAGACUCCUACGGGAGGCAGCAGUGGGGAAUGUUGGACAAUGGGCGAAAGCCUGAUCCAGCAAUGCCGCGUGCAGGAAGAAGGCCUUCGGGUUGUAAACUGCUUUUGUACGGAGCGAAAAGGUCUCCUCUAAUACAGGGGGCUCAUGACGGUACCGUAAGAAUAAGCACCGGCUAACUACGUGCCAGCAGCCGCCGUAA